GUAGCCAAAGAGCAACCACCACUUGGAAUUAUCGUCCACCGGCCUCGAGAGACCUGCGAACCUCAACACUCACUGACAGUUGGCGUAGGACUACUUAGAGUUUUUCAAUUUUACGACAUUUACGUAUCAAUCCAAUAAUACAACUAUAUGGAAUGUAAGCACAGCUCGUUCUGAUUCACGGAAUAUUACAGAUGGAUACAUUGUAUUGUUUUUUUGAAAUACUUUAUAACGUCCUAAAGCACCGGGAAAAUCUUAUUCGAAUUUUAUGACAGUUGGAUGAAAAACAAUAUGGCUGCCGUUCACUCGCUCGUACCGACCGUUAGCAGAAGACUCACUUCAGUGACGUGUACUCUCUGAAUCAUUAAGGUAUACCUUGCCACCUCUUUGGGUAACAGUGACAAUAAAUAGUUGUAAGGAUAAACAAGAUGACAAUACUUGGCGAGAGGGAUACGGCAAAUGACAGAAUAAAUCCUCGAGCACUGAGCGCCCUGGGUUCAGUGGUAGUGCACGUGCCGCAGUGUGCUGCUGAAAAGAUUGUUUACGAAAUUUCUAGGCUGAUUCACAACCACCCGGCCUAUGGAUGUUGUAUCGAGAGUGCUGGGUUACAGACGCUCUAGCGUCCCAAGGACAAGGCUGCUCAUUCAUUCCAUUAUUCCUGCGAUCGAUAGUCCAUUCAUUCAUCAUUAAAUCGUAUAUUAACAAUCGAUAAUAUUCUAGGUGAAUAAUAUAUAUGCGAGUAAACGAUCUAACAAGAGAGACAACAUAAAGUCCAGCGAAGAAGUCGUCGUCGUCAAUUGAGGUUAUACGCAAUCAAGGAUCCAUCGACCGAUAUUACCGAUAAUUAACCACCGAGAAAUACCAAUCAAACUCGUGAUUGAAAUUGGUGCAGUGAAUUUCACGCGCGUUACUGUAACAUCGCUCACAAUAGCUUUAACUCCUAGAUUUCUAACGCAUAUUCAGCAGCAGCCAUUGUGAGCGUUCAAAUCGCCUGAAACUGCCGCCAAGAUCACGUACUCCUUAGUUAGGAUAUACAGUACCAGUAACCCAAGGAUACCUACCUCCUCGACGUCGUCCUCUGACAUGAGUCAUCUUCCUGGGAGUCAUCCUAUCCUAUCAAAUACAGUUUAAAUAUUUUAAUCCGACUAUAGCCUCAUCCAAAUAUCUUCAGGUUGCGUUUAAUGACUUCCGUCAAGAACACCCCGUAGAUGAGAUCGUAGGUAUGCGCGAGCAUAAAGGGCUAUUGCACCAGGCCUUGCACAGUGGUCUCUACGCGCUGGCAAUAAUGCACGACGUGGAGAGCGUAAAGCCGACGUCGUCACGGACCUCAAGAAACAAG
Long non-coding RNA from Cephus cinctus (wheat stem sawfly), 1336 nucleotides. RefSeq lists it as uncharacterized. The record is from RefSeq and is a predicted model, not a curated record. The transcript has 3 exons. NCBI's taxonomy places the organism in Eukaryota, Metazoa, Arthropoda, Insecta, Hymenoptera, Cephidae.